UGCAAAGAUUUUAUUAAAAUC
Molecule: non-coding RNA, 21 nt
Filed under: Caenorhabditis elegans
Lineage: Eukaryota; Metazoa; Nematoda; Chromadorea; Rhabditida; Rhabditidae
Source: RNAcentral